RNAcentral lists this ribosomal RNA (508 nucleotides) under uncultured bacterium. RNAcentral describes it as "bacterial SSU rRNA". It matches the Rfam family "Bacterial small subunit ribosomal RNA", at positions 38 to 518 of the family's 1533-position model. The record is from RNAcentral.
GGCGGCGUGCCUAAUACAUGCAAGUCGAACGGUCUUUCUAUGGAAGCUUGCUUCCACUGAGAAGAUAGUGGCGAACGGGUGAGUAACACGUGGGUAACCUGCCCAUAAGAGGGGGGAUAACAUCCGGAAACGGGUGCUAAUACCGCAUAGUUUUCUUGAUCGCAUGAUCGGGAAAGGAAAGACGGCCUUUGUGCUGUCGCUUAUGGAUGGACCCGCGGCGUAUUAGUUAGUUGGUGAGGUAACGGCUCACCAAGACGAUGAUACGUAGCCGACCUGAGAGGGUGAUCGGCCACAUUGGGACUGAGACACGGCCCAAACUCCUACGGGAGGCAGCAGUAGGGAAUCUUCCGCAAUGGACGAAAGUCUGACGGAGCAACGCCGCGUGAGUGAAAGAAGGUUUUCGGAUCGUAAAACUCUGUUGUCAGAGGAGAACAAGUUGGAGAGUAACUGCUCCAGCCUUGACGGUAUCUGACCAGAAAGCCACGGCUAACUACGUGCCAGCCGCGGC